RNAcentral lists this long non-coding RNA (239 nucleotides) under Citrus x clementina. Its description in RNAcentral is "Citrus clementina (C. clementina) long non-coding RNA (CCLE_LNC003875)". Lineage: Eukaryota; Viridiplantae; Streptophyta; Magnoliopsida; Sapindales; Rutaceae. The record is from RNAcentral.
GAACACACGAGGUGAUGGAUUUCAGUUUUAUAGCUAAAGCUGACUUUAGACAAUCUUUGAGGAUAUAAAAUGGCAAUGGCAUCUUAUAUCUACUCUGAUUCUAAAUGUUAUGCUUCCACAUUCAAGAGUAAGUCAAAAAUCAUACAAAUAAGUCAAAAAUCAUACAAAAAGGUUCCUUGCAGGAUCAGACACCAGAGAGUACGGUGGUUUCAAAAAUGCCCCGACAGAUAGAAGGCUUG